Molecule: ribosomal RNA, 504 nt
Filed under: uncultured bacterium
Lineage: Bacteria
Description: partial 16S ribosomal RNA
Rfam family: Bacterial small subunit ribosomal RNA
Source: RNAcentral
AUUGAACGCUGGCGGUAUGCUUAACACAUGCAAGUCGAACGGCAGCACAGAGAGCUUGCUCUUGGGUGGCGAGUGGCGGACGGGUGAGUAAUGUAUCGGAAUCUGCCUAUAAGAUUGGGAUAACCUGGGGAAACUCAGGCUAAUACCGGAUGUGCCUUACGGGGUAAAGCAGGGGCUCGGAAGACCUUGCGCUUAUAGAUGCGCCUAUAUGAGAUUAGCUAGUUGGUAGGGUAAGAGCCUACCAAGGCAACGAUCUAUAGCUGGUCUGAGAGGAUGAUCAGACACACUGGGACUGAGACACGGCCCAGACUGCUACGGGAGGCAGCAGUGGGGAAUAUUGGACAAUGGGGGAAACCCUGAUCCAGCAAUACCGCGUGUGUGAAGAAGGCCUAUGGGUUGUAAAGCACUUUCAGUGGGGAGGAAAGUAUUAUGGUUAAUACCCAUGAUAAUUGACGCUACCCACAGAAGAAGCACCGGCUAACUCCGUGCCAGCCGCCGCAGUAA